CGCAUCUGUGCAUGCAGCAUAUCAAUAAGCGGAGGAAAAGGAGUAUACCUACGCUUAGGAUGUUGACGAGACUGUCGAUCUCAUCUAUACAUGACUCUGUGCAUAUCAAUAAGCGGAGGAAAAGAGGGCUAUUACCUACGCUUAGGAUGUUGACGAGACUGUCGAUCUCAUCUAUACAUGACUCUGUGCAUAUCAAUAAGCGGAGGAAAAGAAACUAACAAGGAUUCCCCUAGUAACGGCGAGUGAAGCGGGAAGAGCUCAAAUUUGAAAUCUUAAAGGGUUUCCCUUUACGAAUUGUAGUUUAAAGAAGUGUUUUCUGUUGAGGUUUUGGUAAAAGUUCUUUGGAAUAGGACAUCAUAGAGGGUGAGAAUCCCGUAUUUGACCUUUACCUUCAACUUUGUGAUACACUUUCAAAGAGUCGGAUUGUUUGGGAAUGCAGUCCAAAAUGGGUGGUAAAUUUCAUCUAAAGCUAAAUAUUGGCGAGAGACCGAUAGCGAACAAGUACCGUGAGGGAAAGAUGAAAAGAACUUUGAAAAGAGAGUUAAACAGUACGUGAAAUUGUCAAAAGGGAAGCGUUUGACACCAGUGUUGUUUUUCUGAAAAUCAAUUAAAGAACUGUUUAUGCUAAGUUGUUUAGACUUUAUCAGCUAUCUGUUUAGUUUUGAGCUUUUCUUUAAUGCACUUUUCAGUUAACAAGUCAACAUCAAUUUCUUUUGCUGUAAAAAAGCUUGAGGAAGGUGGCUUGAGAUUCGUCUUAAGUGUUUAUAGCCUCUUGCCUAUGCAGUCGGAGAGAUUGAGGUCUGCAGCGUAGAUCCUUCGGGGUUAGAUAGCAUUUGUGCUAAGUUAUAGCAUUUUAUAGACAACUUGUUGACUAUGAUUUGUCUUGUAGCUUACUCGCUUAUGUUAUUUUACCUACGCUUAGGAUGUUGACGAGACUGUCGAUCUC
RNAcentral lists this ribosomal RNA (946 nucleotides) under uncultured Neocallimastigales. RNAcentral's name for it is "partial large subunit ribosomal RNA". The stretch from base 163 to 946 matches the Rfam family "Eukaryotic large subunit ribosomal RNA", at positions 1 to 646 of the family's 3401-position model. Lineage: Eukaryota; Fungi; Neocallimastigomycota; Neocallimastigomycetes; Neocallimastigales. The record is from RNAcentral.